UAAACAUGUGUCUAUGGACUUAUAGUAUAAAUAGAGGCCACUACUUCUCAUGAAUCCUCACAAAAUCAUCAACUUCUUCUUCUCUCUAUCACUCUCUUCCUCUCCACUCACCAUUUCUAUCCAGAAAAGCUGGAAGAACCCCCCACUGCCACCUUCAAACCACCCCCUGCCAUCACCUUAUUUCACUGGAAAAAACAUGCCUAAGCACCUUCCAGUGCUACCCUACUGACGUUUGGAAAUCCCUCAGCCACAUUCUCGACAAACCCAGACCAAAAACGGGAAGAAAAAGAAGGAGACAACAGGCCAUCCAAACCCACUGCUGCUAGAAGCCACCGAAUGCCACCACCCUCGACGACCUCCUGCUGUUGCUGCUUCGAAACUAAACAAAUCCUGACGGUUCGUUAUCAAAGCGACACUUCUCGGCUUCUCGCGUCAAAUACUCAAAACAAAUCAUCAAUCACACAUUAAGGAAAUCAGUGAAAUUUACUCAGACGAUGGAAAACAUGGCUCGCAAGUACUUUAAUUUUCUACUUUUGAACUGUUAUGCCUAACUAUUAAGGCAAACUCGUAUUAUUAUUUUAUUACUAUCUGUAAG
This is a non-coding RNA of Lactuca sativa (garden lettuce), 595 nucleotides long. Lineage: Eukaryota; Viridiplantae; Streptophyta; Magnoliopsida; Asterales; Asteraceae. The record is from RefSeq and is a predicted model, not a curated record.